This 113-nucleotide ribosomal RNA is filed under the name Bacteroidota bacterium. Lineage: Bacteria; Pseudomonadati; Bacteroidota. The record is from RNAcentral.
UUAGGUGACUAUAGUGCAGGGGAAACACCUCUUCCCAUGCCGAACAGAGAAGUUAAGCCCUGCAACGCCGAUGGUACUGGAUAUCUUUCCGGGAGAGUAGGUCGUCGCCAAUC